This 11773-nucleotide long non-coding RNA is filed under the name Lynx pardinus (Iberian lynx). The record is from RNAcentral. Lineage: Eukaryota; Metazoa; Chordata; Mammalia; Carnivora; Felidae.
AUCCAACCGAAACCUGGUUCCCCGACUCCCAUCCUCCCUGCCGGGCAGGAAUUGUUUUCCUAUUACAUCCUUCUCUCGCACCUUCCCCGCUUCCCGCAGCAGCCUCCACUGUCCUCACCGUCCCCAUCCUCAUCCAUGGCGAAAUCCUCGCCCCCGGCCUCAUGAAGAUCCAGCACGUCCGCCAUCUUGCCUCCCUUCUUGCUCUCGUCCGUGCCGCUCAGGCACUAGGCACCUCGGGAAACUGUCGCGGAGGGGAAAGGUCGCUAGUCAAGUUGACCAAUCAAAAGCUAAGUCUAAGUCCCGCCCCCGGCGCAGCGAAAAUACGCAAUGGAGGCGGGCCUUAUUCGGGAAGAUGCCGGAAGUGUUCCUGUAGCCAUCUUGAGCAAGUGGUCAGCUGAACAGAGUGGCACUGUUAGGGACAAGGUAACGGGUGGCUGCAGGCAGUGCCCUAUUAAGUAGGGCAGCCGAGGAGAAAUACUACUGCCAGCGGAGCACAGCCGAAUUUCUUUAUUAGAGGAUUGUGUACCGUCUCCUUGGACUCCGUACCAAAUGGAAGUUUGAAGAACGUUUUUUCUCUCAAAACUUCUAGACCUGUAUCCUGCUCUGAAGAGCAGCUGGAUCUGUGAUGGAAACAUUUUAAAAAUAGUUCAGUCCGUAAUGCUGGGUACUGAAGCUGUUUCUGGCUCGUACUGCAGCACCGAAUAUCUCUUAACACUAACAGACCUGGUUGUCCGGGAACUAGCAUUGGUGACACGGGUGUCAACUUCUUAAAAUUUUUUUUGUUGUUAUAAUUUUUUUAAGAUAAACUCUCAAACUCUUCCCACCACCUCUGGGGAUUAAAAAACAAAACAAAAUCAUGGCUUUGAACAAAAUGGGGGCUUUAACCUCUUUGGGAAUGGUGCGUGUAUUUCAUGUUUAAAAACCUAGGCGUUGAAAAAACAAACAAACCUAGGAGUUGAGGCAAAACCCAUAUUGCCCCCAAAUUCUGGAAUCCUGAUGUAAGUAAACCUUUAACAAUAGUGGACUGCAGAUUCAUUUAUUUAUUAAUUUUUUAAUCAAGCCGUUAUGUGACUUUAAUAUUAGAGAAAGUGUGGGCAAUACAAGGCAAAAUAAUCUCAUUAUCAACAAUCACUUUAUAACUACAUUAUGAAAGUGAUAAUUGCUACGACAAAGUGUAAUGGCAGUACAAAGAAAGUUUCUAAUAGGACUGGGAGUAAGAAGGGCUUCCAUUUGAACUGGGCCUUUAAGGCUGGGUAGUUUUCCAGGCCACGCAGCUGUACUGAGAAUAGGAGACACUAAUCCAUUCUCCACAGUAAGUAGUGUGAUCCUUGAAAAAAAAUCAGCUGGUCAUAUCCCUAACAAAACCCUUCCUUGACUUUUUCACUUGGGAAUAAAAUUUGAACUGCCUACUCUGCCUAUUUACAACGACCUCCAUUACCAUUCUGCCUUCUUAUUAAGCUCUCCCUACAUUUUCCCUCAACUGUGCUGUCUCUUUCCCACCUCAGGACUUUUGCAACUUUCUGUUCCUGAUGCUCUUAUUCCAGCUCUUCACAUGGCUCAUUCAACUUCAUCCUUUAGGUCUCCCUAAAAUACUACUUUCUCUACUUUCCUGUCCUUCACUCUUGUUUAUGUCCUUCACAGAACUAGCUUACUACCUUGUUUACUUUCUGACUCGUUUAUUGUCUGAAUUCCCAUUAGAGUGUAAUCCUUAUGGCAGAGACCCUUAAUUACAACAAUAUCCCCAAAGUUUAGACCAGUGUCUAGCUCACAGUAGACAUUUGAUACAUGCUUAUUGAAUGAACAAAUAUCAGAAUGGCAAGAAAUUGUUUGCCUGAUGCUGUGUGGCUAGGAAAUAAAGCUAGAAGUACAGGUUAGGGCCAAAAUGUAUGCCAUGCUAAGGAUAUUGAAAUUUUAUCCCGUAGGCAAGAAUUUCUGUACUUCAAGUAUUUGAGUAUUCAUGAUUUUUCACAACUGUAAAUAGUCCCCAUGCUGUUUCUUGAUUAGUGUUUCUCCUUAUGUAGACUGACUUUUUAAUUAAACAAAUUUUCACUAAAUUUAAAUAUCACUGCCAUAAAUGUAAAAUCUGUAUUUUUUUCUACUACAGUUUCCGAUUAAAAUAUAAAAUAAGUAAAAAUGAAAAAUGUUUGCCCCUCUACCACCUAAAAUCAUCUCAGGUAAUACCAAGGGUUCCCAUAUAAAACUUCGGGGAAUGCUGUUAAGGACAAGGAUAGCUAAGUGAUGGUUUAAGCAAGGUAGUGGUGCACUCCUAAGUAUUUUAGAAAGAAAUCUGACAGUAGUUGAGAGGAUGUUAAGAAUGAAGGCAGAGGCUGGUAAGGAAGCUAUUGCAGUGGUCCAGCCCAGAGAUGAUAAAGGACUGAACUAAGGCAGUGGAUAUGGACAAGACAGAUUAGGAAGUUUAUAUAGGAGGUAAACUCAACAGCAAGUGACUGAUUAGAUCAUGGUAAGGAAUGGACCUAAGGUUCUAAUUUAAGUAACUGGGUAGAUAAUAAUCCUAAUAACAGAUUUGGGGAGUCAAAGAAGAGCAUGUAUGAAAUGGCUUUUAUUUUGAAUAUGUGACUUCAGAGAGCUUGUGUCAUAAAUUCAGGUGGUGAGGGGCACCUGGGUGGCUCAGUCGGUUGAGCGACCAACUUCAGCUCAGGUCAUGAUCUCACUGCUUGUGAGUUCAAGCUCCACAUGCAGCUCUGUGCUGACAGCUCGGAGCCUGGAGCCUGCUUCGGAUUCUGUGUCUCCCUCCCUCUCUGCCCCUCCCCUGCUUGCUCUCUCUCUCUCUUUCAAAAAUAAAUAAACAUUUAAAAAUUUUUAAAAAUAAGAUAAAUUCAGUUGGUGAUGUCAUGGAAAUAUAGAUGUAAAAGCUCAAAAGGGUGAAAGAGAUUGAGAAUGGUGUAUAAGAUAGAGUUGAAGUCACCAUGGUGAGUGAGUUCGCUAGUGGAAAUGGGUAGACCUUGAAAAGAAAGGGUCAGUGACAAAAUCCAGGUUCCUCAAAUGUCUGAAGGGGAAGCAGAAUGCCUUCCCCCAACAGUACAAUCUUAUUUCUGCCACCCAAAAAAUACUAAUCAAAAUUAUCUUUUAGUCUGUUUAUAAAAGAAAGGGUCGUUUUAGAGUUCCUCUGAUACAUAUGUCUUAAGAAAGAGUCAAUCUGGCUCACUAGACAAAAAUCUAUUUUUAAUUGUAUAAAAUUAUACAUAUAAAAUACAUAGAAAGUAGUAAAAAGAUAAGCAAAAUCUUUAACAAUGAAAGUGGACAGAUCAGGGAACAAUUUUUCUCCAGUGCUUUGGGAUCUUAACUGGUUGUUACUUGAGAAAAAUAAUCCAGGAGGUGCAAAGGAGAAGUUCUUCCCACAACUCACACCCCUUCACACUUCUCAGAGAAAGGAGCAUAGGAGAAAUGAGGGUUUAUGAUGUCUGGAUUAUAAAUAUCAAUAAAAACUGGGUAGACAUACCUGUUAUUUAACAUAGGAGCCUCUACUCCUACCCUACAUGUGCUUCGUGGUAUACAGAGAUGGGACUUGGAGAAUUCCAGGAGGUCCCUUUCGAGCACUAAAACAGUUGCUAGAUUCCUUACCACUGAUCCCAUAUGUACUGAUCACCAAGAUGAUUUCAAAAGCAAAAAAGCUGAUUUUCAUCUUAUCCCUGUCUGAUCCAAAAGAGCAAAUUGUGGCUUAUUUCCUAACCUAUUUCUAAAAACAAAGUGUUUAAUCAUAGAAUGGAAAGUCCAAUUUUGCAGAAACAGGAAACGUCCCAACACAUUUUAGAAAGUGCACCGAACUAUAAUAUAGUAUAAAGGAGUUUAUAGAAACAAAGGGAAAACACAUCUUUGAGAGACCUAUAAAAAAUUCUCCCAAAGAGGAAUGCUUUAGCUGUACUCCAGAUAUUUCUCCCCUAUUUCACCCAGGAGAGAGAUUGGGGGUGGGAGGCGGAGAGUCUUAAAAACACAGUUGAUCAUGUAGUCUCUUUUCCCUCCUGCAGUCUCCCCAGGGUUCCAGUUAGGAAGUGCCAUAAUGCCAGUCGCAACUAAUUUUCUUGAUCAACUCCUGCUCUAAUAACCAACGUGGAAGAAGAGGAAAGAAAAGAGAGAAAACAACUGUGAAUCUAUGGACAUCAAAGGUAGCAAACAGCAGCAACUUUGUGAGAGAGGAACACGGCCCUCACCAAAGAGGACAAAUAAUGUUUCCAAAGAGCAACAUGAAGGGAAGAGACAGAGUUGGGAAAUAUGUUUACCUCCUACCCAUUUCUGCAGACAGGAAGGUUUAAACACAGGGCUCAGUGAAGCUGGGUGAGCAGAGAGGAAUGAAGAGGGAAUAUUGGAAGAGGCUUCAAUGCUGAUCCCUUCUGGAGCAAGAACACACCCGGGAAGCUGGUAUGGUAUCUAUGCCCCAGAAGCAACUUAGGUGAUAAACACCUAGUUUUGUGUUUAUAAUUCCUCUCUUCUUCCUGGGAAGUUUCUCAGGAAUAAUUUGAACAAGCAGCUGUCUACUUCCUUCCAAAUUAAUAAAGGAAGUCUCAAAAUGAAGUACCGCUUGGAGGCAGAGGAGGAGUAAGGGAGUGGCGGGAAGCGGUUGGUGGGGAGUCUAGGCAAGGAAAUGUCUAGUCACUGGAGGAACAGCUCAGUACUAAGUAGGCCCAACUCAAGAUAAACUUAAGCCAAAGCCUUCAUACUCGUACCCUGUUUGGAGUCCAAGAGAAAGCAGGAAUGAGGUUGAGGGUGAGGGUGGGGCACACAGACCUUAUUCAAACUCCCUGUUAGAUUAUAAGAACACUUUGUCAAUCAUUUUGUGCUAUUGAAAUGACUACACAGAGCUGGGAGUAUAAGCACCAACAAAGCUCUGAAGACAGCCUGCUCUUUUUACAAAGUGGAAUGAGGAUGUUUCAAAGGAAACUACAUCCAAAAACUAGAAGAAAAGGGAUCUCUCAGCAAAUUGGGAUCUGAGUGUAGAAUUUAUACAUAUACAUAUAUAUAUCUAUAUUUUAAAGUAUAAAAUUGAGAAAGUAUGUACAGAAAUCAUACUAAGUCUUAGAAAAGACAUUAUCAAAAAGAGCCUGGAGAGGAUGGGGAGUAUGUGCAUGGACGCCUAGCAGUUGGAGGAAUGCAUAUUGCCCAACUGCCCAGCGGCCAGCAGGAGAAUAUCUUUCUUCUCCUUGUGGAAGCGCAGCUCCUUGCCUGCCAGCCGAGCUUCGUCCAGCUCCCGCUCAGUAGAGGCCAGCUCUCUAGACAGUGCCCCUGGCACACUCUGCUCCCGGCUCACCCAGUCCAAUGCCAUUUGAUGGCGAAUAUCAUCAUCCAGGGCCCGGUGUGAAUAAUGAGCCAACACUUCCUGCAAGGGGAAAGGAAAAUGAAGGUUACUGACAAAGUCAAGGUUCAUACCAAAUGGACCCAAUGGGAUGAGGAACUCUUAGCCUUGGAGUCCUAACUGAAGUCAGCACGUAAGUCCUUUAAGGAGAUUCUUAAGGGAAACUUCCCCGUGGGGGAAGCAAGGCAGGCAAAAGAGCUACAGUUAAGAUCUAAAUAGGAAAGAUGUUAGGAAUGAAGAGGGUACUUUGAGGCUUUCAGGAUUCACAACCUGGUAACUAUAGGCCUGCUUAUGUCUAACAUAACAGCCACCUCGAAAUAGUCCUUCUGCAAGACUCCUCUCACAGACAGGGUCUCUUACCUGCCGAGAGCACUGUCUCUCCCUCAUGGCCUUAAGGCUGCCAUUCCAGUGCAGCAGCUGAAAAACUGUCAUUAGUUCCUGGAGGAAGAAGACAUGAAGUGCCAGAACAGUGAUUUAUAUUGAGGGUUUGCAUCACAAUUACAUGGGGGACCUUUUACAGAAUGUAUUUACGUAAGCAUCUCUUUUUUUUUUUUUUUAAUUUUUUUUUCAAUGUUUAUUUAUUUUUGGGACAGAGAGAGAAAGAGCAUGAACGGGGGAGGGGCAGAGAGAGAGGGAGACAGAAUCGGAAACAGGCUCCAGGCUCUGAGCCAUCAGCCCAGAGCCCGACGCGGGGCUCGAACUCACAGACCGCGAGAUCGUGACCUGGCUGAAGUCGGACGCUUAACCGACUGCGCCACCCAGGCGCCCCUAUAAGCAUCUCUUAUACCAACUCUGAUGUGCCCUUCAGGGAAGGAAGGUAUUUAUAUAUUGAAAAAUAUUCUAACCUUCUCUCCCUUCCCUUCCAACUGAUGAUCAAUGAGUUAGGGAUUAGAAGGAAAUAUAAUUAAUAUAAUAUAAUAUAAUAUAAUAUAAUAUAAUAUAAAUGCAGGUUGAUCCAUGUUAUGAGAGCCAUAGUACCUGGAACUCCAACAUUGACUUGCCCUUGUUGGAUUCCAGCAUGAAUCGGAAGGCACCAAUCCCUGUGUUUGGGUUGUCAGCUUCCUCCCUGUUGCCCUGUAACAGAGGAAAGGAAAAGACAAAUAGAUUUUCAAUCAGGAUUAUCACCUCAAGCAGCACUGUCCUGUAGAAAUAUAACGCAAGCCCCCAAUCUAAUGUAACAUUUUCUAGUUGCCACGUUAAAGUAAAAAUAAACAGGUAAAAUUAAUGUAAAUAGCAUGUUUUAUUUAAGCUAAUAUAUUCAAAAUAUAAUUUAGCUAUACUUAGCAUAAAAAUUUUUCAUGAAAUUUUUACAUUCUUUUUCUUAUACCAGGGUUUCAAAAUCUGAAGUCUCUUCCACAUUUACAGCACAUCUCGAUUCAUACUAGCCACAUAUCAGGUGUUUAACAGCUACAUGUGGCUGGUGGCUAUUCUGCUGGUCAGCAUAGACCUAGAAGACUCCAAAGUCAUCACACAUAUUAACUCAAGUGACAGAGGUCAAUCUGAUUUUCCCUAUCUUACAAAGAGGGAACACUGAAACAUAGAGAAGAACCCCGAUUUAGCCAAAAUAACAGAGUGAGUCCAACACACAGGAUUGGACUAGCCUAGAGGAUAAUUGGGCAAAUGCAUUUUCAAGGGAAACAGUAGGAGCCAUAAAGCAUAGUAAAUUCUGGGUAGCAGUUUGGCCUCUUAGACAUUUGGCUUGUGUGUUCUAGUGGUUACAUGACCCUGUGGGGAUAGAACUAAGAUUCAUUGCCUGUGCAAACAAACAAUACGGUAUAGACUGGAUCUCCUACUAAUCUUGAGGCCUUGGGGAAGUCAUUUAACCUCUCUGUUCCUGUUUCCUCAUCUGUAAAAUGGGAAUAAUCACAGAUCUAUCUCCUAAGAUUGUUUUGAGAAUUAAAUAAGAAAUUAUUUAAAAAGGGAUAAAUGUGGUUUUAAAACUCCAAUUAUAUAAAAUGUGGUACAUUAUUAUACUAGACUUGGUAUCCAGUUACACAAUCCAAAUCCAUUCUGGUACUGGCUUUGGUUUAGUGGUACUUGAUGGUGGUUUAGUAUUACUGGGGAUAAUUCCAGACCCUGGGGCUGGCUGGGACUUCCAAAAUAAGGGUAGCUGCUAUUUUUUUUUGGUGACCUUUUUGUCAGCCUGAUCUAGGAAAAUAAAACCAGGAGACUUCUGGGAACACAGGAACCCAACUUUCUCCUUCUACUUCCUGACAAGUUGCCUGAUCUUUCUAGCCCAUUCUGCACCACCGUCCCUGCUCCACGCCUCCCAAGAUUCUGCUCUCUUUGAGAAAGGGGACUAGGUAGAAGUGAGGAGCCAAUCAAGUUAUAUCCAAAUUCAGUUUAUUAUGGGGCACUUCUCCAUGGGGCUGUACUGUAUAUGUAUUAUAAUAAUUCCAUGUGCUUAGUAAGUAUACCAUAUGUGCUGGCUUAUUUGUUUUCACUCUGCUAGAAUCAACAAGAAGUCACACAAGAUCAACCCAUAUUAUUUUGUGGCUUCUGAGAAGCAACAUGCCAACCAGUAGUUAAUCUUCAUGGUGAAGCAAAGAACACAAAAUUUGGAUUUAAAAAAGAAAAGCUACAGAGAGGAAGGAAAAAGGUAACCUUCACUAUUAGCAUUUAGGGCCCUGAAGCAAUUAACCUGUUUCAUGGUUGCCUAUAAUCAUUCAAUAUGGUACCUUAUUCAGUACCUCCAGAGUUUUCCAUGAUAUAGUACAUAGAAAGUAAUGAUUAUCUCUGUACAGCCAACUGGGGUAUACAGAAGAAGCUGCGGGCAGAGGAGCCCAUCUAUCCCAGGCCUUGCUCUUGGACAGAGCAUGAGCAGCGGAGGGGCAGAGAAAGAGAGGGAGACACAGAAUCUGAAGCAGGCUCCAGGCUCUGAACUGUCAGCACAGAGCCCGAGGCGGGGCUCGAACUCACAAGCCAUGAGAUCAUGACCUGAACCGAAGUCAGACCCCCAACUGACUGAGCCACCCAGGUGCCCUGAAAUCAAUGUGAUUUGGAGUAUGGCGAUUCCACUGGGAAAUUAAUGAGCAAUCUAUUAAAUUCUCAGUUUUGAGGGGUUAGGCAAAUAGAAAUAUUGGCAGAGAAUAAAAACAAUUUGUUUCCUAAACACUUUGUAGUAGACACUGCUGGUGACUUAGCCGACAUCUGUUUCCUUCUUCCUUACUAUAGAACCUUAAUCUUGUUCUACUACCUACCAUCUCCCAUGUAUCUCCCUCAGGGAAGAGUGAUUUUAUCCUCUAAUUUCAGUGGGUAAAUCCUAACCCAUUUUGCUUGUAAUUGGUUUUAAGGUGGGAAUUCUGGCCAUUAGGAAGUAGAAGGGAGGUCUACUGGCGGGUUUCUGGGAGAAGAUUCCUUACUACUAAAGAGGUACUAAAAGAAGGUCUCAGGGCACCUGACUGGCUCAGUUGGUAGAGCAUGCAACUCAAUCUCAGGGUCUUGAGUUCAAGCCCCACAUUGGGUGUGGAGCCUACCUACUUAAGAAAGAAAGAGAGAAAGAAAGAUGGUGUCUUUCUGUCUUUGAAUAUGGUUACAUCUGUAUUUAAUAUCUGAAAUUCUGUAGUCAUCUUGCACCCUUGCAUCUGAAGGGAGCCAGCUCAAGGACAAAGACAGUAUCUAGAGGAUGGCUGAAUGGAGAGAUGGAAAGAAUUUGGCUAGUAGAUGAUGACAUUCUUGAUCCAUGGAAUCAACCAGCCUUGAAAUCUUCUCUACUUCUGGACUUCCUGUCAUGUUAGAGAGUAAAUUUCCUUUCUUGGUGUAUUCCCUUAAGUCAGUUUGAAGUAAGAUUUUUCUAUUACUUGCAUCCAAAGGCAUCAAAACAGAUAACACGUGCUAAGUGCUUAAAUAUAUUCUCUUCUAUCCAGUAAUCCUACAGGUAUAAUUGUUACAGAUGAGGAAAUUGAGACUUAGAUUAAGUAACUUGCUCAAAGCCACAUAGCUAGUAGAACCAUAAUUUCAAAAUGAUGAAUUCAGAGUCCAUGCUUAUAAGCAUUGCUUUCUAUAAUCCAAACCAGUGUUUCACUUUAUAAUAUAUUAGGUGACUUAAGAGUGAUAAAUGUACUUUCUUAAUUUAAUUGGCUUUGAUCAAUAUAAAAAAUUGUUUUUAUUCCUUGUAGAUACUUCUGACCAGGGCAAAGAGAAAUGGGAGGAAAUCAGAUGGGUAACAGAGGGAAGCCAACUUAUUAUCUAAAGUGUUCAACACUAACAAAUACACAAACAGAUAACUGAAGUGGUUUAGUAUAUGUAAUUACAUCUUAACUUCAAAGAGAACAGAAACAGAAAAUUGGUCAGACUUUCACCCUAUCACCCUAUCAGUGAACUUGCGGGAAGGAAGAGAGAAGGCAGUGUUCAUUUCCAGGAUGCACCCCUAAGCUAGAAAAUUCUGAGUCAACUUGGGUUCCAGUCUUGGCUCUACCACUUUCUAUCUACAUCCCUUCAGGCAAAAUUUCACUUCUAUGUUUUUAGUUUCCUUAUCUGUAAAACAGGGGUACUAAUAGUUCUUAUAUCUCAGAGCAUUAUGGUGAUGAUCAAAUGACAUAAAAUACACAUAAAUCCCCUGGAACAGUCCCUGACACAAAGUAAAUACUCAAUUAGGAUUAGCUGUGGUUAUCAUCAUCAUCAUCAUCAUCAUCAUCAUCAUUUGAAGGAACAUUCUUUUGAAAGAGAGUAAAAAAAUUACCCACCCCAUUCGUGGAAAGGAAAAAAAUAAAAACUAAGACACUGUAUUAUAAAGUGUUCUUUAUUAAUAGGAGAGGUCACGGAGAUGAAUGGCAAUAAGAAAAGUCAUAAAAAUUAAAAAAAAAAAAAAAAAAAAAAAGAACAGUGAAGUAAGAAGGGAGUAAGGUCUUAAACCAAAAUUGGGAAAAGCAAAAUUCAAGCUCAGGUUUUAUUUUGAAAUAUCUCUAAAAUUCCACAAAUCUUGAAUUAAAGGUUUCUAGAUACCAAGGAGAUACAAUGAAAGAGGCAAAAUACCAACAAAAACAUAAACAUACACAUAGAAUCAGUGAUUGAGACAUAGGGAGCAUGUAAUAUGCAAGAUCGACAGAAAAUAAAUUCCUGUCUAUACAGGAAAGAAAAGAAAUCCCGCUCUGAUUCCCAGUGAUUUACAAGACUUCUCAGCCAGCCAGUUCUCCCAUCCCCCACUUUCUUUUCUUUGAACUCCCUGUAACUUACAUUGAAAGAUGCCAGGGCCUCAGAGACACUCUUCUCAAUGAACUCAUCAGUGAUUCUUCGGGAAGGGUGUUCAUUAAACACAGAAUUCAUCAGUGCAAUCUUUGCAGCACUCCGCCGGGCCUCAGCUUUUGUGGGGCAAAACUAGGCAGGACAGAGAGAGAGAAAAUAUGUAUAUAUGUGUGUCUGAGAGAGAAAGGAAGGAACAGUGGGAGGGAAACAUUAGGAUAGACACUUGGGUAGUCUUUGGAAAAAUCAGUUUGUGCAGUACAUCCUCCAAAGUUUGUUUUGUAAAAUGGUUGAGGCAUUUGGAAACAUAAUUUUGAUUCAACAUCCUGAAGUCAUUAAGGAACUGGAGACGGCUAUAGCUCAUACCAAAUUGAAUGCAGAAUGAGGAAGGCUGCUGAAGUCAGCAUAUAACCACUGGAUAUAAAAAAUACGCCCGUUUCAACUGUCCACAGAAUUAAUUACUCAAAAGCCAGAAUCUGGCCAGCCUGUUAGAAAUUUGUAUCUUGCUCUCCUGUUCCAUGCACAGGCAAGGUUUCUUUUCAUCCCUCUAGAUAAGCUAGGCAUAGAAUAGGUCUUCUCUAGGUUGCUUCUGCACAGGAGGCCUCUAGUCUCUACCAGAAGCGCCCAUCCAGGAUUCUUGGACUUCACUUUUGGCUGUGAGCAGGCAGUUCCCCCACUAACGCAGUGAGUCAAUGAGCUAUCCCUGAGCAGAGACCAAGGUCUGAAGAAGGAAUGUGUAGUCUUUUUCCCCCCAGGGGAAGCAAGGAGGAGAGGGGUAGCAAGGAGAAGGAAAGCUGACCUGAACAAAGCAAGAAAAUAUUAAAAGUUAAUUCAUGUUUUUUACAUUGUCUCCAACAUAGGUAUCAUAGCCCAAGGCUGAUUUUCAGAAGUCUUAAAUCACUCAACCUCAAAUCCCCAUAGUAUUUGUUUAUAUAAUUCAUCAUCACUGGCUGCCUCAAAGGCCUGUGUCUCCUGUCAUUUAUGAUUAGGGUCAGAGGAAAGGAAGAAAGUAAUGUUAUGGCUUUUAAAAGUAGACCAGGAUAUGUUCACUACUUAACCACCUUAAUAUCAAUAACUCCCGAUUUUCUUUAGCUGACAGGUGUCUCUGAGACAGAAUAUGGAGCUUGGUACAUUAACCCUAAGUUGUCUUCUGCAAUUUCUCCAUUCCUACUUCUCUGUUUGCUAGGCUGCUGCUCAUUCUAUAGUAUGGUAUUGUUCCUGAAAGAUCAUCCAUCCAUGAAGAAAACCACCAGGAGAAAUUUCACCUGCCAAAGUGGGUAUAGA